RNAcentral lists this ribosomal RNA (372 nucleotides) under uncultured Hypocreales. RNAcentral's name for it is "eukaryotic LSU rRNA". The stretch from base 1 to 125 matches the Rfam family "5.8S ribosomal RNA", at positions 30 to 154 of the family's 154-position model. Lineage: Eukaryota; Fungi; Ascomycota; Sordariomycetes; Hypocreales. The record is from RNAcentral.
GCAUCGAUGAAGAACGCAGCGAAAUGCGAUAAACUAUGUGAAUUGCAGAGUUCAGUGAAUCAUCGAAUCUUUGAACGCACAUUGCGCCCGUCAGUAUUCUGACGGGCAUGCCUGUCCGAGCGUCAUUUCAACCCUCAAGCACUGCUUGGCGUUGGCGGAUUGCGUGCCCUCGCGGCGCGCAACCGCCCAAAUACAGUGGCGGUCCCGCUGCGGCUCCCUUUGCGUAGUAACUCACCUCGCACUGGACCGGGCGGCGGCCUGCCGUAAAACCCCAACUCACGAAAUGUUGACCUCGGAUCAGGUAGGAAUACCCGCUGAACUUAAGCAUAUCAAUAAGCGGAGGAACGGAGGAGCAUAUCAAUAAGCGGAGGA